Molecule: non-coding RNA, 99 nt
Organism: Acanthosepion pharaonis
Lineage: Eukaryota; Metazoa; Mollusca; Cephalopoda; Sepiida; Sepiidae
Source: the annotation of a GenBank genome assembly
CAUUGAAACACUGGUUCUUGUACAACCACUGAAGUUAAGCAACAUUGAGCUUGGUCAGUACUUAGAUAGGUGACUGCUUGGGAAUAUCAGAUGCUGUAA